Molecule: ribosomal RNA, 253 nt
Filed under: uncultured bacterium
Lineage: Bacteria
Description: partial 16S ribosomal RNA
Rfam family: Bacterial small subunit ribosomal RNA
Source: RNAcentral
CACGGGGGGAGCAAGCGUUGUUCGGAUUCAUUGGGCGUAAAGGGCUCGUAGGUGGCUUUGUAAGUCGGAGGUGAAAUCCCACGGCUCAACCGUGGACACGCCUUCGAAACUGUGAAGCUUGAGGCUGGGAGAGGAAAUCGGAAUUCCUGGUGUAGCGGUGAAAUGCGUAGAUAUCCGGAGGAACACCGGUGGCGAAGGCGGCUUCCUGGACCGACACUGACGCUGAGGCGCGAAAGCUAGGGGAGCAAACGGG